ACGUCAGUUCGUGAACGGACUACCUAACGGAUGAGCUAACGCACGAUUAAAUGUUAUUCGUGAUGAGUGACUAACCUGAAAAAAUAAUGCAUUCGUUUGACAGCGAAUGAAGACCUGUUACUGCAUUCCCGUUUCGCCAACGAAUAAUAAUAACUGCUUUCAUUUUCUAUAUACGCAGAAUCCCGACUCAAUCAUCGACCGCGCGUAUUUUUGUCGACAUUGAGGUGCGAGAAACAUAAUAGCACCAGCGCCCACCACUGAGGCUCUGUGCGUGCUUAGAAGAUUGGCAAGUAGGUACGCUGAGCACGAGGUCGCGGGAUCGAAUCCCGGCCAUGGCGGCCGCAUUUCGAUGGGGGCGAAGUGCGAAAACACCCGUGUACUUAGAUUUAGGUGCACGUUAAAGAACCCCAGGUGGUCGAAAUUUCCGGAGUCCCCCACUACGGCGUGCCUCAUAAUCAGAAAGUGGUUUUGGCACGUAAGACCCCAUAUAUUAUUAUUGGCAAGUAGGUACGUUGGUGGCACUGUAGUUGUAUUACUCUUCCGAACCUUAAGAGCAGCCAGUGUUCGUGCCUGUGUCGGCAUUUGUACGUCAUAGCUGAUACGCGCCACGAAUUCACACGGUAAGAACGGCACGAAUUAUUUGGGCUACUGAGGGCUUGCUGGAGGUAAUGCGUCAUUUACAACGAUUCCCAACAACGUUUUGCGACACGCACUUAACAAAUGUUGCGUACCUAAUUGUAGCGCACGCGAUACAUUCGGUAUCGUCAUGGCACAACUUUAGCGCUCGUUCACAUACUAUUUAAAGAUAUAGUUAUCAAAACAGGAAAAAAAGCCGCCGUUACUGAAUUCGUAUAAGCGUCCGUAUAGAAAUUCUAUGCUGUACACGAAUUUACUCGGAGCUAGAAAGCCAAUGCGAACGCUUAAAGCGCACCGCGCCUUGCAAUGCGUGCACUCACUCUGCGAAAGGUCGUCUGCUACGCUCGAGCGGCGUAGGCGGCGCCACGGUCGAGGAGAGAGCGUGAAAGAGAGGAGAAUCUAGGAGUGAAGGCGGAGGAGAAGAGUGUCACUACUUUACGAUAAAGCUUUGUUUUACGAAGUUAAAGGGUGCUAAUCGCGCCGUCUUUCGCACGCGAACACCAAACCUUACGACGCGACGAGGGGAGGUGACAGGGAAAGCGGGGUUCUCUGCGGCAGCAACUGCGCAUCUGGUGGCUGCGCGCGGUCGUACCUUGAUUGCGUCCUGCAUUAGGGGCAGAGCCUAGGUUUUGAUGGCACCACUCAAGAGCGGGUCGCAGUCUCUGUACCAGUACACGAGGCCCAAUGAAGUUGCAAGAGCCAGGAAGAAGAAGGAAAACACCAAGAGAGGGCCCCCGAUGGCUAUCCUGCAGAUGAGGAUACGGUGUAGAUGUCGUAAAGGUGGUACAGAAGUGGCACCAUCCCGAUUGCCGAGAAUAUGGCCGCAAAGGGUAUGCCAGCCACAGGCCAGAUGACGUGAAAUCCGUAGGCGUAGUAGUGCGCCACGAAGCCCACCACGGUCACGGCUGUGGCCACGGACG
Long non-coding RNA from Dermacentor albipictus, 1556 nucleotides. RefSeq lists it as uncharacterized. NCBI's taxonomy places the organism in Eukaryota, Metazoa, Arthropoda, Arachnida, Ixodida, Ixodidae. The record is from RefSeq and is a predicted model, not a curated record.